AUGUGGACAGAUGAGUUCAAGGUUUCUGUUUAUAGCGCUUCUUUCCAUGCUAUCCUAGCGAAUGUAGUUCAUGUAGCUUCAGGUGUAGAGUUUUGUUUGGUCUGUAUAUAUGGUGAUCCUUAUCAUCGCCAGACUACUGUCAUAUGGAAUCAGGUGGCCACUUUUGUGUAUGAUAACCUAGGCAAGCCGAUGAUCUGUAUGGGUGACAUGAAUGAUAUCCUGUAUGAUAUAGAUAAAUGCAAUGCUAGUGUGAAUUAUUAUCAGUUGUCUUCCUUU
Molecule: ribosomal RNA, 276 nt
Filed under: Triticum aestivum (bread wheat)
Lineage: Eukaryota; Viridiplantae; Streptophyta; Magnoliopsida; Poales; Poaceae
Description: partial small subunit ribosomal RNA
Source: RNAcentral